Rosa rugosa (rugosa rose) is the source of this 457-nucleotide long non-coding RNA. RefSeq lists it as uncharacterized. The transcript has 3 exons. NCBI's taxonomy places the organism in Eukaryota, Viridiplantae, Streptophyta, Magnoliopsida, Rosales, Rosaceae. The record is from RefSeq and is a predicted model, not a curated record.
GGGACAAGCCCGAGCUCUCCCUCCCCCUUACUUUUUCUUUUGCCGCCGGCCUUCUCCCACAAAAUUCAUCGCCGUCCGGCCACCACAGGACGAACCGCUUGGCAUGGCGUGAUCCUCUCCUCCUUCUCUACCUAGUCAUGACGUACUGAUCCCUCGAGCGAGGAGGACACGGGCAGGCAGCAGGGUUAGCUGCGAGACUCACCUAUUUCAGUUUGGCCGAGAUCGCGUCCAGGAACUAGAGGCAUUGGAGUCAGCGCUUCCGUUUUGGCUGUAGGUUAAUACUUAACCUACCUUGUAUGAUAUCGGCUUAGUUAUGUAGUACUGCUCUGAUAACUUUUUUUUAAUUUGGGGAAUGCUAAUGUUUGAGAAUCUGUUAUAGUAUUGAAGUUAAUGUGGAAUUCGUACUUCCUGAAUGUAACUUAUACACGUGGAAUGUAAAUAUUGGAUUGUGCAUGUG